UAACAGACCCUGAAACCAUACGCUUACAAGCGGUUGGAGCAGCUUUAGGCUGUGACAGCGUGCCUUUUGCAUAAUGAGCCUACGAGUUACUGUUACCAGCGAGGAUAAGUAUUUCAGAUACGAAUCCGCAUCGAAAGAGAGUCUGAAAAGGGCGCAAAUAGUUGGUAGUAGUAGACGCGAAACCUGGUGAUCUACCCUUGGGCAGGUUGAAGCGCUGGUAACACAGCGUGGAGGACCGAACUGGUUGUCGUUGAAAAGACUUCGGAUGACCUGAGGGUAGGGGUGAAAGGCCAAUCAAACUGGGAAAUAGCUCGUACUCCCCGAAAUGCAUUUAGGUGCAGCGUUGAAGUGAGUUUAAUAGAGGUAGAGCUACUGAUUGGAUGCGGGGGUUUCAUCGCCUACCAAUUCCUGACAAACUCCGAAUGCUAUUAAAUGCUCAUCAGCAGUGAGGGUAUGGGUGCUAAGGUCCAUAUCCUAAAGGGAAAGAACCCGGACCAUCAGCUAAGGUCCCCAAAUAUAUGCUAAGUUGACCAAACGCGGUCUGACUGCACUGACAGCUAGGAUGUUGGCUUGGAAGCAGCCAUACAUUUAAAGAGUGCGUAACAGCUCACUAGUCGAGCGGUUGGGCAUGGAUAAUAAACGGGCAUAAGCAUAUUACCGAAGCUAUGGGGUAGUACAUAAGUACCUACCGGUAGGGGAGCAUUCUAUAGGCGUGGAAGCUAAAGGCGUGAGCCAUAGUGGAGCUGAUAGAAAAGAAAAUGUAGGCAUAAGUAACGAUAAGGCAGGCGAGAAACCUGCCCGCCGAAAGAUCAAGGUUUCCUCAGCUAUGCUAAUCAGCUGAGGGUUAGUCGGGGACUAACGCGCACCCGAGCAGGGGAAGUGGAUGUACAACAGGUUAAUAUUCCUGUACCAUUAAUCUGAUAAAAGUGACGGAACGAGAUAACUACCGCGUACUGACGGAAUAGUACGUUAAAGGAGCAGUUAUAGCUUUAAUAGUACACUGAAGCUUCGGCCGAGGUGAUAGAGUGGUGACAACGUUUCCAAGAAAAGCGAAGAUUAAUGCCCGUACCGUAAACCGACACAGGUGAUUGGGAUGAGAAUUCUAAGGCGCUCGAGAGAUUCAUGGCUAAGGAACUAGGCAAAAUAGACCUGUAACUUCGGGAGAAAGGUCGCCUAUCUAGCGAUAGGCCGCAGUGAAAAGGUCCAAGCGACUGUUUAUCAAAAACACAGGACUCUGCAAAAUCGAAAGAUGAAGUAUAGGGUCUGACACCUGCCCGGUGCUGGAAGGUUAAGAGGAGAGCUUAGUGGUAACACGAAGGUUUGAAUUGAAGCCCCAGUAAACGGCGGCCGUAACUAUAACGGUCCUAAGGUAGCGAAAUUCCUUGUCGGGUAAGUUCCGACCUGCACGAAUGGUGUAACGAUUUGGACACUGUCUCGGCCAUGAGCUCGGUGAAAUUGUAGUAUCGGUGAAGAUGCCGAUUACCCGCAGUGGGACGAAAAGACCCUGUGCACCUUUACUAUAUCUUCGUAUUGGUCUUGGAUAAGUGAUGCGUAGGAUAGGUGGGAGACUGCGAAGCGGCUAUUCCGGUAGUUGUGGAGUCAUUGUUGAAAUACCACCCUUUGCUUAUCUGAGGUCUAACUUUGCACAAGGCAAAGGACAAUUCGUGGAGGGUAGUUUGACUGGGGUGGUCGCCUCCAAAAGAGUAACGGAGGCUUCUAAAGGU
This 1724-nucleotide ribosomal RNA is filed under the name human metagenome. RNAcentral's name for it is "bacterial LSU rRNA". It matches the Rfam family "Bacterial large subunit ribosomal RNA", at positions 541 to 2317 of the family's 2925-position model. The record is from RNAcentral.